GCUUUUGGUUCAGUGGUAGAAUGCUUGCCUGCCACGCGGGCGCCCAGGGUUCGAUUCCCGGCCGAUGCA
This 69-nucleotide transfer RNA is filed under the name Cordylochernes scorpioides. RNAcentral describes it as "tRNA-Gly". The record is from RNAcentral. Lineage: Eukaryota; Metazoa; Arthropoda; Arachnida; Pseudoscorpiones; Chernetidae.